CCCUUAGAUGUUCUGGGCUGCACGCGCGCUACACUGAUGCGUUCAACGAGUUUAUGACCUUGCCCGAUAGGGUUGGGUAAUCUUUUUAAAUCGCAUCGUGAUGGGGAUAGAUUAUUGCAAUUAUUAAUCUUCAACGAGGAAUUCCUAGUAAACGCAAGUCAUCAGCUUGCAUUGAUUACGUCCCUGCCCUUUGUACACACCGCCCGUCGCACCUACCGAUCGAAGGUAAUGAUGAGCCCUCAGGAUUGUGGCCUCGUCGCGUCAGCGUCUUGGCUGCGAGAAUCUGUGCAAAUCCCUACCUUUAGAGGAAGGUGAAGUCGUAACA
RNAcentral lists this ribosomal RNA (325 nucleotides) under uncultured eukaryote. Its description in RNAcentral is "partial 18S ribosomal RNA". It matches the Rfam family "Eukaryotic small subunit ribosomal RNA", at positions 1470 to 1796 of the family's 1831-position model. The record is from RNAcentral.